GUACGAAACGAAUCGGAAGACAGCGCUUUACUUAACACUUUAUUAUCAUGUCUGACAUUUCUUUUCUCCGUUAUGGCGCAUCUGGUGUCAUCUGUCCACGAAAAUGAUCCAUAGGUUGUCUGUGGUAUCAGCUGUUUGAGACUCAGAGUUGUUCCCCUUGUUGACAUGACAACUGUGGAGGGCCAUGCAAUGGUAAGCAAGCAUCUUUCAUCUGACAUGGAGGAUGGAUCAGAUUUAGUGGACGGGGCUUGUGGGGGCGAGACUCUCGGCCCAUGCAAGGAAGGAUCGCUGGCACCAUCUGGUGUUCCGGAAACGCUCUCAGAAUCUCUCAUUGACGAUAGCACAGACAAUGUCAGCAUGGAGGUCCUGCUCGGGGAGGACAACUCGCGACACCCGAGCGAACUCAGUUCCAUUUCGUACCAGAACCUCCUCGACGACGGGGAGCCAAUCAGUGCCAUGCUUUCACGACGGGACAGCGACGAGAGCAACGACUCCUUUCAGCCUGAGCUGGAUGGCGAUUUCCCCCCCGAUGAUAUAGAACGGUUCGAAGCGUCUGACUUGCCGUUGACCGAUCGUUUCAUGAAUAAAGAAUUCAUGGUUUCCAAACCCGUGCAUAAUUGGAAGCAGCAGCAACAGCAGCAUUACACUGAUAACGAGGACCGGGAUUCGGAGGUGGAGUAUAUCAUGGAAAGAAGUAAUAUUCCCGUGAUUCGAAAAGACGAUUCCGAUGUGGAGUAUUACGAAAACAUGUCGCAGAACUGUCAGCCCAGCCUGGUUGUUCAGCUUCGACAGAAGGCUGCGUCAGCGGAAAACGUCCGGGACACCGUAGACAGGGAUGACGCCAUUAAGAAGCGGUGCAGUCUGGAGAUUAGGAAUAAUAUACCGCGGGUGUCGGAGGUGAAGAACUAUGACAAGGAUCUCCGAGAUGUCACUUACAGCAGCCAGGGUGCUAAACCAAAGAUGCGGAAGCAGUCUCCAGGACUGGCAAGAAGAGUGUGUGACAGCGAAAACGAGAACAGUGCCACCGAGCGCGACGGUUCGAGUUCGGAGCGGGAGACGAUGUCCAGAUCUGAAUUACAGCAUAUAGCUUCCCACAAACCAGACUCUAACGGACAGAAUGAUAUCGAUGUUAGUAACACUAAAGAACAUCUCAGAAUUCUGACGCCUCGGAAAAAUCUGAGCAUUGAAAAUGAAUAUGAUUAUGUGAAAUAUGCUCGUGUUCAGCAAGGCAACUCAUAUGUGGGCAUGAGGUUAGCGUACUCGAGUUCGAACGAUUCUCUCAAUCUGAAAAGAAACAGUCUAAACAGCCAGGGCAGUGCGUCUCUGGACAGCUCACGGGAAACGUCUCCGGAGAAAACCCUCCAGCAUCGCGUGGUGGUGUCCGACCAGUUCACACAACAGGAACGGGUUAGCGAAGAUACCCUGACGGAAAUUCCGCUCAAUGGAACGGACAGUUUCAUCCCUGAAGACAAGAAGAGUUUCACCCUGUCUCCGGAGAACACCGAGUGUGACAGCGUGGAGGUGGAGAGCGUGACGUCAGACGGGGAUCGCUCCACCCUCGGAAUGCCGAUUGUCGACGACGGCCUGUCGAGUAGUCAGACAAGCGACGUAGAAGAUGGCGGGAGAGAUUACGCGGAACGGCUUCGGAUGCAGCAGAAGAUGGAAAGUGAGAUCAAAAGACUAAAGGUGUCUUCCGAGCACAAAGCCAAGGACAUGGACGCCAAGGCCAUAAUGAGUGACCUGAAGGCAAAACGCGAGGCGCUAGACCUGGCCAUUGCCGACAUCAAGUCUGCCAUCCAAAGGAGCAAGGGAGUUGCACUACAGUCUUCUUACACCGAGGAUGCCAACCCGUCAGAGCCGGUGUGGGUUAGAAGAGACAGUCAUGCCCAGAAAUUGCAGCAGAGACAGGAAGAGAUGAGACAAGUAAGAGAAGAAAUCGAGAGACGACAAGAGGAGGAUUAUGCUGAGAAGGAACACAAUACUGCUUUUGAACAGGAAGGACAAGCGCAGGAGCAGGACGGGUUGCUAGACCACGAAUACACCGAAAAUGGGAAAGUCCCUCCUCUUCCCAAAGGCUAUGAGUCUGAUGAUGAGUAUGAAGACAGGGAGGGCAUUCACUACACGCGGCGAAACAAAGGCAAAAAAUAUGCCCCGCUGCAAAAGGACGAUUCGCUUGACCACGUGUGUGCCCAGAAUGGUCAAUAUGGCACACACGGCUCCAACAGCCUGCAUGCGGGUUUUGUGCACAGAGAUGGGGGGCAGACAGGCAACUCGAGCCACCAUUUGCAAAACGAUCACAAUUCCGAAUAUUCGUCUACCGAAGAUUACGGCAGUGACCUUGAACCGACCUCACAGAAUGCGUAUGUUCGGGAGGUGCAUGGAGAUUCAGACACUGAUGAAGAGACGGAUCGCUUACUGCAGAAACAGUAUCAGCGCCGCGACCAGUAUGUGGAAAUACCAGAACUCACAGAGCCCCCUGUGAACAGAAGUGCUCAGGCGGAGAAACGGCGAUCUCGUGCCAAAGAAGCAUUUCGUUUCAAGUUUCGUGACCGUACCUCGGUGCAUGUUCGUGAUCCUGAUAAUCCUGAAGUUCUGAUCGAGGGCGUCCUGUUCCGAGCCCGAUACCUUGGCUCCACACAGCUUGUGUCUGAGGGCCAGCCUUCGAAGGCCAUGAGGAUGAUGCAGGCACAAGAAGCAGUUGGGAGGAUAAAGGCGCCGGAGGGUGAGAACCAACCCAGCACUGAUGUAGACUUGUUCGUAUCCACCGAGAAGAUCAUGGUUUUAAAUACUGACCUCCAGGAAAUCAUGAUGGACCAUUCUUUGAGGACAAUAUCGUACAUCGCUGAUAUCGGAGACAUCCUGGUGAUCAUGGCGCGGCGACGUCUCAUCACCAGCCCGGACGAACAGAGUCUGCGGCGCCGGCGGCAGGCCAAGAUCCUCUGUCACGUCUUCGAGUCUGACGAGGCCCAGUUGAUUGCCCAGUCGAUUGGGCAGGCCUUCCAGGUGGCCUACAUGGAGUUCCUGAAGGCGAACGGGAUCGAGGAUCCCGGGAUCCUGAAGGAGAUGGACUACCAGGACGUGCUCAACCAGCAGGAGAUCUACGGGGAGGAGCUGCAGCUGUUCGCCAACAAGGACCACCACAAGGAGGUGAUCGUGCCCAAGGCAAAGGGUGAACCUCUCGGCGUGGUGAUCGUCGAGUCUGGUUGGGGGUCGAUGGUUCCGACGGUCGUCCUGGCCAACAUGGCACCCAGUGGACCGGCUGCACGGUGCGGUCAGCUCAACAUUGGUGACCAGAUAAUCUCCAUCAACGGUAUCAGCCUGGUGGGUCUGCCCCUGUCGGCCUGUCAGAACCAGAUCAAGACGUCUAAACCUCAGACGGUUGUGAAGCUGACGGUGGUCCCGUGUCCGCCUGUUGUGGAAGUCUUGAUAAAGAGACCCGACGUCAAGUAUCAGCUCGGAUUCAGUGUACAGAACGGAGUGAUCUGCAGUUUGUUACGAGGAGGAAUUGCGGAGCGUGGCGGGGUGAGGGUCGGCCAUCGAAUCAUCGAGAUCAACAAUCAGAGUGUUGUCGCAGUGCCUCAUGAGAAGAUUGUGUCUGUGUUAGCUAGUUCAGUUGGAGAAAUCCACAUGAAAACCAUGCCAACAUCAAUAUUCCGCCUAUUAACAGGACAGGACACACCCCAUUAUUUAUAAACAGAUGAGCCAGUAUUUGUUUAAUUGUGCAUAAUAAUUGUUAUUCAGGAUAGACACCUUUCUUGAGUCUCAGGCAAUGGACUUUAUUAAAAUAUGUAUUUGUAUAACUAACUACAUCUGUGUAUUCACAAGGGCCACUUUUCAAACUGGAAGGUGGUUGUUAAGACAUAUUCUAAAACGAAAGCAAGAUGAAAGAGGUUUUCUAAGAAGUGGUUUUUCUUGUUGUUUUACAACACCGCAAAAACGAAGACAUUUGGUAUCCAGAAAUAUUCUUGAAAACUGCAAAAUUGAGUGGAUAUUCUGGAAUGUGCAGAAUGGAAAAGAUAUGGUUAAGAAGAGAGGUUGUAGAACACUGCAAAAUGGAAGAGAUUGUUGUUGAGACAUUCUAGAGAAUUGCAAAAUGGAAGAGAUAUGGUUAAGAAGAGAUAUGAUUAAGAAGAAAUAUUGCAGAACAUUGCAAAAUAGAAGGGAUUUGCUUAACAAGAUGGACUAGAUCAUUGCCAAAUGGAGAUUUGCAUGGUUUAGAAGACAAAUCUGGAAAACUGCAAACAAAGACCAUUACAAAAUGGAGGAUAUUUGGUUUGGGACUGUUCUGAAAGAUUCACUGCAUAAUGGAACAAAAAACAAAGCAAUUAAUUAGUCUGAAGAGGAGUUUUCUGCAUCUGUUUUGCGAAAAGGAAUACGUUGUGAGGAAGCCAAAGAGAAAGGGAGACUAGUUGUGGUGGAUAAUAUACGAUUAUAUUUAUCUACCAGCGGAAGAUUCACUGUACACUUGUGGCCAACAACUCGUGAAUGCCUCAUUUCUGUGACUUUAUGUUUCAAAUUCAGUUCACUCUUAACCCACAGUGUUUGAUUGUGGUUGUUUAACACUUUGUGACGUCUCAUGAAAAAUCAGCGUUUAAGAGUUGACUCGCUGAGGUUAGCAUUGACCUGCCUACAGAGGUUAUGACACUCUGAGGUUAACUCGGACAAGAGAAACUUAGUUUUGAGUUGUGAGCUAUAUUAGAUCAUUUUAGGCUGCUUUUUGCAGCAUGUUACACUAUCACAUACGUUUUAAUGGCAUGUAUACAUGUAUGUAUUCGUGAAAAGAGAAUGAAUUUUACUGCCUGUGUUUUAUGUCCACUGAAAUGUAAAUGGUAACUAUUUAAACAGCAACACCAAAAUGAUGUAGUGUCUUUACAGAAGAUGUCACAGAAGGCCGGUGAAUGCAUCUUACUACACGGCUGGCAGUGAUAUGCAUGUGUUUGUACAAAGAGAUUUUACUUUUACCACCUAUCGUUGGUCUAUCUAUAAACACGGCUAAAUUCAUGUACUUACAGCAUCACCAAAAUGUUUAUAUCUCUUUGUGAGUGAGGGAGACAUCACACACAAAAAUGUGUUGUAUACGCCUCUUCGUAAAUAUCUGACCAUAAUGUGCGAGUCGAGGAUUAUUUUUAGUUGCUUUCUUCUACAAUCUCUACAUUCCUUCCUUUUUAAAAUUAAAAAUUUAAUGUCUGUGACCGUGAUUUGAGAAAACAAGUACCUGUAUGUAAAAAUCACUGAUUCUUAAAUGUCACCAGUUGUGUGUGAAUGACGUGUGAUGCAUUUAAUAGAAGACAACAGUGCAGAACAUUUGUAAUGCGAGAGGCAGUUGAAAUAUAUGAGUUUGUAUUUCAUGUUUAUACAUAUACGUAUGUAUCAGUAGAACUAUUCAUGAGCAGAAUCGAGUACAUUGUAAUAUAGUUUGCUUUUUCUUCACCUGCUUAAAAAUUACGUGCUCUACCUAUGUGAUACGUUUUCUUAUUAUCCUCAUGGUUCAACAUAACCGAGUUAAUAAUAAUCAUACGAAGCACGUGUGUAAUAACAAGUGUGAUGAUGUAAUUUUGUAAAGUGAUGUCAUAACAUGAUUGUUGUUUUCUCCAGUCCUAGUUAAGACAUUGCAUGUGAAAUAUUCAUAUUGUUAUUCAUAAAGAAAACAACAAUAAUAAUAUGGAUAAUAAAGAAAUGAUUAAACUCGCAUGCGAGUUGUAUUGAUUUUACGAAACUCGUGUCACGAUUCAUGUAUUACCCUCGCUCUUACUCGGGCAAUAUAAAAAUCCUGACACUUGUUUGGUAAAAUCAGUAUGACACACAAGCUCGUAUAAUAAUCUCUACUUACUUGUCCCAGCUUUUCCCUGCAUACAUUCUACCAUUAUAUUGUUCGUGUGUUCUGUCAUUUUGCUUUGAUUUCGGCAAGGUGAUCAGAUUAUUUGCAGUGCUUGCUUUUCACAAUUAUGAUUGGUGUCUUAUAAAUCAGGGGUCUAGAGCAUACAAUACUUGAUGAAUUCUCUCACUUAUAAAUCAGGGGUCUAGUACACGCAAUACUUGACGAAUUCUCUCACUUAUAAAUCAGGGGUCUAGUACACACAAUACUUAUCAGGGGUCUAGUACACGCAAUACUUAAUGAAUUCUCUCAGGGGUCUAGUACACACAAUACUUGACGAAUUCUCUCACUUAUAAAUCAGGGGUCUAGUGCACGCAAUACUUGACAAAUUCUCUCACUUAUAAAUCAGGGGUCUAGUGCACGCAAUACUUGACAAAUUAUCUCACUUAUAAAUCAGGGGUCUAGUGCACGCAAUACUUGACGAAUUCUCUCACUUAUAAAUCAGGGGUCUAGUGCACGCAAUACUUGAUGAAUUCUCUCAGGGGUCUAGUACACGCAAUACUUGACGAAUUCUCUCACUUAUAAAUCAGGGGUCUAGUGCACGCAAUACUUGACGAAUUCUCUCACUUAUAAAUCAGGGGUCUAGUGCACGCAAUACUUGACGAAUUCUCUCACUUAUAAAUCAGGGAUCUAGUGCACGCAAUACUUGACAAAUUAUCUCACUUAUAAAUCAGGGGUCUAGUGCACACAAUACUUGACGAAUUCUCUCACUUAUAAAUCAGGGGUCUAGUACAUGCAAUACUUCACGAAUUCUCUCACUUAUAAAUCAGGGGUCUAGUGCACGCAAUACUUGAUGAAUUCUCUCACUUAUAAAUCAGGGGUCUAGUGCACGCAAUACUUGACGAAUUCUCUCACUUAUAAAUCAGGGGUCUAGUGCACGCAAUACUUGACGAAUUCUCUCACUUAUAAAUCAGGGGUCUAGUACACGCAAUACUUAAUGAAUUCUCUCAGGGGUCUAGUGCACGCAAUACUUGACGAAUUCUCUCACUUAUAAAUCAGGGGUCUAGUGCACGCAAUACUUAAUGAAUUCUCUCACUUAUAAAUCAGGGGUCUAGUGCACGCAAUACUUGACGAAUUCUCUCUUAUAAAUCAGGGGUCUAGUGCACGCAAUACUUCACGAAUUAUCUCACUUAUAAAUCAGGGGUCUAGUGCACGCAAUACUUGACGAAUUCUCUCACCUACGGUUUCUGUGUGAUAAAUCCAGGGGCCUUUUCAUAAAGCUCUUAAACAAGAUUGCAUCAUCCUUGCAAGUGUUUUUGUAUUACACGGCAAGAUCCCAAAGUUAAAGAGACUUUAGUGAAUUUAGGCUCCAGGGGCCUAAUUCACAAAGGUCUCUUAGGCUCUGCUAGACAACCAUCCUCUUUGUAAGUCUUUUAGCAUUGCACUGUGAGGUCGCAAAGUUGCAAGAGUUAGUGAAUUAGGUCCCAGAUACUUUAGCUAAACCCAAUAGGUUAAUUAUGACAUGGAAACUUCCUGUAGUCUGUUGAUUGAUGGCAUUCAAUGACUCCUAUGGUGAGGUGUUUUUGAGUGAGAAUCGUGUGUGUGUCCAUGCUUUUACUUCUAUAGUUCUAACCAUAUCCAGCGGGUUACCCACAUAAAUUGUAAAAACUUUACAACAGUAUUAUCAUUAUUAUAAAUCUCAGACCAUCUCAAACAUGGAUUCAGAAUCUUUGAAAAAAAGAUCAGGCUGAUUUCUGUUUAAUUUUGUGGUUAUUCUUACAUUCAGUAACAUAUACCAGUACGGUUCAGUCAUUCUGUCCUGGGCACACACUUCAACUACCAACAGGGCCUGUGCUUAUAAAACUUGUAGAGUCCAGACUCAAUCUCUAAUAAUGUCACACGCCUACAAUUUGUAUGGCGUUGUCAUAACAUUCACGUCUUGGACUCUAAUAGUCUCGAUUCUAGACUCUAAAAGUUGUAUAAGCACCAGACCAGGACAGGGAAUAAUGGUUAGCUUGUUUGUGGUUAGUUAGUGAGAGAGAAGCUAAUGUAGAGGUCUUACACAUCCUCACUGGAGACGUUAAAAACUUGUUCACAUUUGGUGCCAGUACAGGGAUGUUUUGCAGGACGGGGGUCUAAAAACUUCUUCACAUUUGGUGCCAGUACAGGGAUGUUUUACAGGAGGGGGUCUAAAAACUUCUUCACAUUUGGUGCCAGUACAGGGAUGUUUUGCAGGACGGGGGUCUAAAAACUUCUUCACAUUUGGUGCCAGUACAGGGAUGUUUUGCAGGAGGGGGUCUAAAAACUUCUUCAC
This 8129-nucleotide unclassified non-coding RNA is filed under the name Gigantopelta aegis. RNAcentral's name for it is "amyloid-beta A4 precursor protein-binding family A member 2-like, transcript variant X5". The record is from RNAcentral. Lineage: Eukaryota; Metazoa; Mollusca; Gastropoda; Neomphalida; Peltospiridae.